RNAcentral lists this long non-coding RNA (2300 nucleotides) under Chelonus insularis. RNAcentral describes it as "uncharacterized LOC118063690, transcript variant X2". The record is from RNAcentral. Lineage: Eukaryota; Metazoa; Arthropoda; Insecta; Hymenoptera; Braconidae.
UCCAAGAGGAAAUGAAGUACGAAAUGAGUUCAUUUAGGAAAUCAUGGAUCUUCAAAUAUUAGAGAACGAUCCGUCAAAUAUUUGAAAUUGUCAGGUGAUGCUCAGUGUCUGGCGCCAUGUGACGCUUUUAAUUUAUUCAAAACACUGUCCUCUAAGUAGCUUCAUUCAAGAUCACUUUUUUCUAUUUUUUUUUUCUUUCUAAGUGACUGCUCUCGAAAAUAAAAAGAAAAACUCAACUAUUUGUUUUGUAACUUUAAAUUAAAAUAAUUUAUUUCAUUUCAAUUUUUAUUUAUUUUCAACAAUAUAAUUUAUUUAAUUAAUUAAUCAGAAAACAUAAUUGGGACUGCAUAAAACCAAAUUCUACCACAGGCAGCCAUAUUGAAAUAAAUUGAGCUAAAUUUUUUGGCGGGAAUGUUAGUCUCGAAUAGGUUAGGUUUGUGUUUAAAUAAAUAAAUGGAUAAAAAAAAAUUGUUAACUGGAAAAAAAAAUUCCAAAAAGAAUCGGAGAAUUGGCCUAUUAUAAUAUUCAUCCCUUCACUUGCAUAACGGUUGUCAUUAUCGUAUCAUUACAAGUACAAGAGACUGGUAGUUGGUCACACUGGUAUUUGGUGAUUCAAUUGUUGAAUUGUGUGAAUCUCAAUAAGGCUAGUUGUGUAUAAAUAUGCUUUUAAUUAUAAUAAAAGGAAAGGUGAAAUUCAUCAUACGGGUCUUUGAUAUAUUUUUAAAACCCAUUCUGAGAUUUUUGUAAUAUAUAAUGUACCCUAUCAUUACCUAUUAUAUUACACAGUAGGAUAAAGAGCUUUAAAAAAGCAUACAGAUGUCGCAGACACGCCUAUUUCUUUCACAAAUAAAAGGGUUUAGAAACUAAUCAAAGGAAAUGGUGAAUAAUUGGGUUAUCGUCCAAUGUCCCACAUUUUAUUACAGUCACCUUCAGAAUUCAUUUAUUUUUAUUUUAUAAUAUAAAUAGAGAGAAGUUUUGGAAAAAACUGAGCAGUAAUGUCUGACUAUUCUGAGAUGAAAAAAAAGGCAGAAACUAGUUAGGAGUAAUUCGUUGGAAUCUCUGAUGAUCUCAGUCCAGAAUUUUUACAAUUAUAAAAAUUUUUUCAACGUAGUAAAUAAAAAAAAAUGUAUCAGGAGAUCAAAAACUACCGCAAGUAAUAAUAAAAAUUAUUACAUUAAAUUGUGAGGAAGAAACAUCAAAAAUAUGAAGACAAAUAUAUCAUGGCAUUUUGAGUAAAAUUUGUAAAGAGGAUUAUUUUAUUUUGAAGAAGAAAAAAAAAAUAGGUUUAUAAAUAUUCUAAAAGGACUUGAACCCAAAGACAUCUAAUCAAACAAUAAGACCAUCUCUGUCUCCUAAGAGGAUGCUCAUCACUCUUAUUUUACUUAUUAUAGUAAGUCUUUAAACUGUUCAAAUACACAAGCUCUGACUUGCCUACAGUUUCCACGGAAGUGAAAAGUCUUUGGGAUUAUUCGUGUUUGCGUUUGGAUUAUACUCAAGUGUGUGUUAGAUUGAGAGGCAAGCUGAGAUGACGAGUUGGCUGUUCCCACGUGCCUCAUCUAGAGAGUUUGCUUUAUGCUGUCCCUGUUAAAAUUCUUUGAGUCCCCAACACAUAACUUUUUUUUCCCCUGUGGAUACUGAAAUAAUAGUUUAAUAUUUUUUUGUCUUACAUUUCCUCUUCAUAUUUCAUUUAUUUCUUCUUUAUUUUCUAUUGUAAUGAUGUUUAAAGUUGUUGAUAAGACUCUUUUUUAUGACCAAUGAUUCACACUUAGAAAUCUCGCAAGUUUUAUUGCAUGUUUGUCUGGUGGUCAUUUGAUGGGAAAUAACUCAACUCUAAUUUUUUCUUCAAGAAAAAGGAUGAUUAAAAAAUCUAAAUGACCCUGAAUGAUAAAUAUAUAUAUAUCGAGUAAAACCAAAUGGGCCUUAAAGUGAUCCAAAACAUGGCUAAAAUGUAAAAAGGCCCAAUUAAUACACAUAAUUUAAGCACAAAAAUAUUUUUUAAGUUCAUAUGAAAGGCUCAAUUGUAAAUUAAAAAUAUUUUUGAUGCAUAAUUGGAGUCUAAAUUAUUUUUAGGCUUACAAUGGACCCAAUUUAUGUAAAAAUUAUUUCUUCGACCCCUCGUAUAUCUAAUUUAAGUCCCAAAAUAUUUUUUAAGGCCAUAUUAGACUGAAUACUUUCAUUUUUUAAUCAAUCGAAACCCAUAUAUAUCUAGAAUAUUGCGUAUGUGCAAUUAAGGAUUGAAUGGAGUCCGCUAUGGGCCUUAAAAUAUUUUUGGUCCUUAAAAAAGUUUUGAAAUUAAAUUA